Molecule: ribosomal RNA, 468 nt
Filed under: uncultured bacterium
Lineage: Bacteria
Description: partial 16S ribosomal RNA
Rfam family: Bacterial small subunit ribosomal RNA
Source: RNAcentral
GACGAACGCUGGCGGCGUGCUUAACACAUGCAAGUCGAACGGAAAGGCCCUGCUUUUGUGGGGUGCUCGAGUGGCGAACGGGUGAGUAACACGUGAGUAACCUGCCCUUGACUUUGGGAUAACUUCAGGAAACUGGGGCUAAUACCGGAUAGGAGCUCCUGCUGCAUGGUGGGGGUGGGAAAGUUUCGGCGGUUGGGGAUGGACUCGCGGCUCAUCAGCUUGUUGGUGGGGUAGUGGCUUACCAAGGCUUUGACGGGUAGCCGGGCUGAGAGGGUGACCGGCCACAUUGGGACUGGGAUACGGCCCAGACUCCUCCGGUAGGCAGCAGUGGAGAAUAUUGCACAAUGGGCGGAAGCCUGAUGCAGCAACGCCGCGUGCGGGAUGACGGCCUUCGGGUUGUAAACCGCUUUCGCCUGUGACGAAGCGUGAGUGACGGUAAUGGGUAAAGAAGCACCGGCUAACUACGUG